AGUCAAUAGAUACCCAGGUAGUCCACGCCGUAAACGAUGAGUACUAGGUGUAGGAGGUAUCGACUCCUUCUGUGCCGCAGUUAACACAAUAAGUACUCCGCCUGGGAAGUACGGUCGCAAGAUUAAAACUCAAAGGAAUUGACGGGGGCCCGCACAAGCAGCGGAGCAUGUGGUUUAAUUCGAAGCAACGCGAAGAACCUUACCUAGACUUGACAUCCCCUGAAUAACGUAGAGAUACGCGAAGCCCUUCGGGGCAGGGAGACAGGUGGUGCAUGGUUGUCGUCAGCUCGUGUCGUGAGAUGUUGGGUUAAGUCCCGCAACGAGCGCAACCCUUAUCAUUAGUUGCUACCAUUUAGUUGAGCACUCUAGUGAGACUGCCCGGGUUAACCGGGAGGAAGGCGGGGAUGACGUCAAAUCAUCAUGCCCCUUAUGUCUAGGGCUACACACGUGCUACAGUGGUGAGAACAACGAGAUGCAAUACCGCGAGGUGGAGCAAAACUUCAAAACUCAUCUCAGUUCGGAUUGUAGGCUGAAAC
RNAcentral lists this ribosomal RNA (536 nucleotides) under uncultured bacterium. Its description in RNAcentral is "bacterial SSU rRNA". It matches the Rfam family "Bacterial small subunit ribosomal RNA", at positions 775 to 1311 of the family's 1533-position model. The record is from RNAcentral.